GCCUCUAUAGCUCAGUUGGUAGAGCGCGGCACUAGUAGCUUUCGGAAGACUCGGCAACUCAGUCGGGCCGAGAACAUCGUGAUGCCGAGGUCUUCGGUUCAACUCCGAAUGGAGGCA
Molecule: non-coding RNA, 117 nt
Organism: Dissoconium aciculare CBS 342.82
Lineage: Eukaryota; Fungi; Ascomycota; Dothideomycetes; Mycosphaerellales; Dissoconiaceae
Source: the annotation of a RefSeq genome assembly